Molecule: long non-coding RNA, 879 nt
Organism: Papaver somniferum (opium poppy)
Lineage: Eukaryota; Viridiplantae; Streptophyta; Magnoliopsida; Ranunculales; Papaveraceae
Exons: 3
Source: RefSeq, a predicted model, not a curated record
CCGACUAGUGUUUUGUCCAAAAGAUGGAUUGCAUUUGGAAAUUUAGCCCUUCUCUAAAUUUCAACAGGAGUUCGUUUUCGGAUGAGAAUACUGAGAGAUUCAUAGAUUUUGUUUACAUAAUAUAUUCAUAUUUCGUUAUGACACCAGUAUUCAGAAGUUUAGUGUGACUGGAAAGACUCUGCAUAUGAUAAUAUUUUAAGGAAUCAGCUGUGUAUGCCAAACGUAUGAUGGACUUUCUAGGAGCGGUUUAUAUGGUGAAAGAACGAAAUUAUCAUCUGGUUUCGUUGAGGUUCUCUCACGAGCUCCUGACUUGUUAGACUGUCAACCACCUUGCUUGUGUAAACUGCAAUGUUCGGUGCUGGGAAUGUGGUCUACAAGAGGCUGCUUGCGGGCUAUAGCAUACUUACUCAGCGUUUCUCCUAAUAUAGCUGAAAUUUUUCUUGAAUCAAAGGAGUCAAAUUUAGCGGACGUUGGAGACGACUGGGAAGCAGGCUUGUCAUCCCCGAGAAUGUUGUCUCACCUCGUGUAUGUCCAGAUUGAAGAAGUGGAAAGAUGUGAUGCUGAGUUCAAAAUUCUUAAUUUUUUGCUGAAAAAUGCAAAAGAUUUGGAAGAAGUUGCUCUAUUCUUUCGUUCUAGUGCUGGCUCGCCUGACAUAGUGAGACAAAUUAAGCAAUUUAAGAAGAAGCUAAGAGCAGUUCCAACAUAUGCUGCUUUUUUUUUCUUGAAAAUUUUGUUUAGUAUACUCCUAUAGUAGUAUUUAUUCACAUUAUGUUCAAGUAUCUCAUUCACUGUGGUGAAUUGAGACUCUUCCAUACAGCACAUUAUUUCAUACUUGCACAUAAUUUGCAGUUCUCCACGACACAUAUUACUGGCCUAUGG